Molecule: ribosomal RNA, 1130 nt
Filed under: uncultured fungus
Lineage: Eukaryota; Fungi
Description: eukaryotic LSU rRNA
Rfam family: 5.8S ribosomal RNA (bases 717-870)
Source: RNAcentral
UACACAUGUUAGAUUCCUCGUUGAAGAGCGAAGUAACACUCGCACACAUGUUAGAUAACACUCGCAUACAUGUUAGAUUCCUCGUUGAAGAGCGAAGAUUCCUCGUUGAAGAGCGAGAUUCCUCGUUGAAGGGCGAAGAUUCCUCGUUGAAGAGCGAAUGUAAACACUCGCACAUAUGUUAGAUACACUCGCACAUAUGUUAGAUUCCUCGUUGAAGAACAAUAAACACUCGCACAUAUGUUAGAACACUCACACACAUGUAACACUCGCACACAUGUUAGAACAUAAACACUCGCACAUAUGUUAGAUUCCUCGUUGAAGAGCGAACUAACACUCGCACACAUGUUAGAGCAUAAACACUCGCACAUAUGUUAGAUUCCUCGUUGAAGAGCGAUAAACACUCGCACAUAUGUUAGAUAACACUCGCACACAUGUUAGAUUCUUCGUUGAAGAACAAUAAACACUCGCACAUAUGUUAGAGCAUAAACACUCGCACACAUGUUAGAUUCCUCGUUCAAGAGCGAAGAUUCCUCGUUGAAGAGCUCUUGGUCAUUUAGAGGAAGUAAAAGUCGUAACAAGGUUUCCGUAGGUGAACCUGCGGAAGGAUCAUUACCAACCUUUGUGAGCCUUGGACUCGUCCAUGGUCCCGCGAAAUACGUAUUUAAAACCCGCUCAUAUUAACUAAAACAUGUGGUCAACAUAUGAUAAUUAAAGAUCACUUUCAACAACGGAUCUCUUGGCUCUCGCAUCGAUGAAGAACGUAGCGAAGUGCGAUAAGUAGUGUGAAUUGCAGAAUUCCGUGAAUCAUCGAAUUUUUGAACGCAAAUUGCACUCCCUGGUAUUCCGGGGAGUAUGCCUGUUUGAGGGUCAGUCUAAGUAAAAUCGAGGUGUCGCCUUGGUGACAAUUUCGGAAUUGGGUUGUCUUAACCUCUUUUCAGGUUAAGAGGCCUGAAAUUGAUGUUUUUUUGCGCAUCUUGGACGUGUAUAAUUCGCUUAUCCGUUUUCGAUGUCAAAUGUUUUAUUGGGUAUGGUCACGCCGUGUGUGAUCUCGUACCCAUAAUUUUUCAUAUUUUGACCUCAAAUCAGGUAGGAGUACCCACUGAACUUAAGCAUAUCAAUAAGCGGAGGAA